UUUGAAUAUAAUUUAAAGUAGGGCCUGCCCACUGAAUUAUUGAAGGGCCGCAGUAUUUUGACUGUGCAAAGGUAGCAUAAUCAUUAGUUUUUUAAUUGAAAACUUGUAUGAAUGGUUUGAUGAGAAAACAGCUUUCUUUAUUUAAAUGUUAAAAAUUUUAUUUUUAAGUUAAAAAGCUUAAAUAUUUUUAAUAGACGAGAAGACCCUAUAGAGUUUUAUUUUUUUAUAUAAUUAAAUCUUUAGAAUUUUAAAAUUUUAUUAUAUGAAAAAAUUUGAUUGGGGUGAUUGAAAAAUUAAAUUAACUUUUAUUUUUAUUAAACAUUAAUUUAUGAAUAGAUGAUCCAUUUAAGUGAUUAAAAGAAUAAAUUACCUUAGGGAUAACAGCGUUAUUUUUUUUUAGAGUUCAAAUCGAAAAAAGAGAUUGCGACCUCGAUGUUGGAUUAAAGUUAAUAUUAGGAGUAGAAGCUUAAUAAUUUGGUCUGUUCGACCAUUAAAACUUUACA
RNAcentral lists this ribosomal RNA (503 nucleotides) under Hippodamia convergens (convergent lady beetle). RNAcentral describes it as "partial large subunit ribosomal RNA". It matches the Rfam family "Bacterial large subunit ribosomal RNA", at positions 1831 to 2600 of the family's 2925-position model. Lineage: Eukaryota; Metazoa; Arthropoda; Insecta; Coleoptera; Coccinellidae. The record is from RNAcentral.